CUACGGGUGGCAGCAGUGAGGAAUAUUGCACAAUGGGGGGAACCCUGAUGCAGCAACGCCGCGUGGAGGAUGACGCAUUUCGGUGUGUAAACUCCUUUUAUAUGUCAAGAAAAUGACGGUAGCAUAUGAAUAAGCACCGGCUAACUCCGUGCCAGCAGCCGCGGUAAUACGGAGGGUGCAAGCGUUACUCGGAAUCACUGGGCGUAAAGGACGCGUAGGCGGGUUGGAAAGUCAGGUGUGAAAUCCUACAGCUUAACUGUAGAACUGAACUUGAAACUUCUAAUCUAGAGUAUGGGAGGGGGAGAUGGAAUUAGUGGUGUAGGGGUAAAAUCCGUAGAUAUCACUAGGAAUACCUAAAGCGAAGGCGAUCUCCUGGAACAUUACUGACGCUAAGGCGUGAAAGCGUGGGGAGCAAACAGGAUUAGAUACCCGUGUAGUC
This 439-nucleotide ribosomal RNA is filed under the name uncultured bacterium. Its description in RNAcentral is "partial 16S ribosomal RNA". It matches the Rfam family "Bacterial small subunit ribosomal RNA", at positions 339 to 795 of the family's 1533-position model. The record is from RNAcentral.